This 468-nucleotide ribosomal RNA is filed under the name uncultured bacterium. RNAcentral's name for it is "bacterial SSU rRNA". It matches the Rfam family "Bacterial small subunit ribosomal RNA", at positions 328 to 793 of the family's 1533-position model. The record is from RNAcentral.
CCCCCAGACUCCUACGGGAGGCAGCAGUGAGGAAUAUUGGUCAAUGGGCUUACGCCUGAACCAGCCAAGUCGCGUGAGGGAAGACUGCCCUAUGGGUUGUAAACCUCUUUUGUCAGGGAGCAACGCCGGCUACGUGUAGCCGGGCUGAGAGUACCUGAAGAAAAAGCAUCGGCUAACUCCGUGCCAGCAGCCGCGGUAAUACGGAGGAUGCGAGCGUUAUCCGGAUUUAUUGGGUUUAAAGGGUGCGUAGGCGGAAUGCCAAGUCAGCGGUAAAAUCGCGGGGCUCAACCCCGUCGUGCCGUUGAAACUGAUGUUCUUGAGUGGGCGAGAAGUAUGCGGAAUGCGUGGUGUAGCGGUGAAAUGCAUAGAUAUCACGCAGAACUCCGAUUGCGAAGGCAGCAUGCCGGCUCCACACUGACGCUGAGGCACGAAAGCGUGGGUAUCGAACGGGAUUAGAUACCCCUGUAG